GCUUAGUUGGUAAAGCACAAAGCCCUUAACCUUGUGGAAAUGGGUUCAAGCCCCAU
RNAcentral lists this transfer RNA (56 nucleotides) under Triticum urartu. It matches the Rfam family "tRNA", at positions 10 to 63 of the family's 71-position model. From Rfam's summary of the family: Transfer RNA (tRNA) molecules are approximately 80 nucleotides in length. Their secondary structure includes four short double-helical elements and three loops (D, anti-codon, and T loops). Lineage: Eukaryota; Viridiplantae; Streptophyta; Magnoliopsida; Poales; Poaceae. The record is from Rfam by way of RNAcentral.